Oncorhynchus tshawytscha (Chinook salmon) is the source of this 1343-nucleotide long non-coding RNA. The record is from Ensembl. NCBI's taxonomy places the organism in Eukaryota, Metazoa, Chordata, Actinopteri, Salmoniformes, Salmonidae.
GCCAGGUAGCCUAGUGGUUAGAGCGUUGGGCCAGGUAGCCUAGUGGUUAGAGCGUCGGGCCAGGUAGCCUAGUGGUUAGAGCGUCGGGCCAGGUAGCCUAGUGGUUAGAGCGUCGGGCCAGGUAGCCUAGAGGUUAGAGCGUCGGGCCAGGUAGCCUAGUGGUUAGAGCGUCGGGCCAGGUAGUCUAGUGGUUAGAGCGUCGGGCCAGGUAGCCUAGUGGUUAGAGCGUCGGGCCAGGUAGCCUAGUGGUUAGAGCGUCGGGCCAGGUAGCCUAGUGGUUAGAGCGUCGGGCCAGGUAGCCUAGUGGUUAGAGCGUCGGGCCAGGUAGUCUAGUGGUUAGAGCGUCGGGCCAGGUAGCCUAGUGGUUAGAGCGUCGGGCCAGGUAGUCUAGUGGUUAGAGCGUCGGGCCAGGUAGCCUAGUGGUUAGAGCGUCGGGCCAGGUAGCCUAGUGGUUAGAGCGUCGGGCCAGGUAGCCUAGUGGUUAGAGCGUCGGGCCAGGUAGCCUAGUGGUUAGAGCGUCGGGCCAGGUAGUCUAGUGGUUAGAGCGUCGGGCCAGUAGUGAAAAGUUGCUUGAUUGAAUCUCAGAGCUGGCAAGUUAAAUAUCUGUCGUUCUUCCCUUGAACGAGGCCGUUUAACCCACUGUUCCCUGUCUGCCGACGAUGUCGAUUUAAGGCAGCCCCCCCCCCCCGUACCUCUGAUUCAGAGGUGUUGGGGGGUUCAAUGCGGAAGACGCAUUUCAGUUGGAGGCAUUUAGUUGUACAACUGACUAGGUAUCCCCUCCCUUUCCCCUUUCAAGUAACCCAGGUUGUCUGUAUCCCAAGGCUGCUUCCCAUCCUCAGUGUACUACUUUAGACAAAGGGCUCACAUAGGGACGCAACCCAAGAGUUUUAAAGUGAAAAUAAACCUAUGCACUUUUGUUAUUGCCUGGUUUCACACUCCGUUUAUCAAGCUCUCUAAAAAAAAAUAUGCUACAAAAUAUGUCAUUUUUAGAAAAUAAUAUUGAUGAACAUGUGUGAAUGAUUCGGAUAAUCGUGUCCGUAGAUUCAUGAGUAAUUAUGGGGGUAAAUUCAUCCCUGCAGGGAACAUUAACAUAAUUGCACUUGUAAUGUCCACACGCUCACACCUAUUAGGUGUUUUUAGGUGUUAAUUACUGGCUGUGUAGUCUGUGUACUCACGGCUGUGUAGUCUGUGUGAGAUGGAGUUUUCCAAACAGUUUAUUGUACAGAUGGUGUGUGUGCGUGCGUGCAUGCACACGUUGCAAGCGUUUGUGUGUGUGUGCAUUUGUGUGUGUGUGCGCGUGUUGCCCUGAUUACCCUGAGGGCAUUACAGACCCCCAACAUGGG